RNAcentral lists this ribosomal RNA (2603 nucleotides) under Enterococcus faecalis. Its description in RNAcentral is "bacterial LSU rRNA". It matches the Rfam family "Bacterial large subunit ribosomal RNA", at positions 1 to 2618 of the family's 2925-position model. Lineage: Bacteria; Bacillati; Bacillota; Bacilli; Lactobacillales; Enterococcaceae. The record is from RNAcentral.
UUAAGUGAAUAAGGGCGCACGGUGGAUGCCUUGGCACUAGGAGCCGAUGAAGGACGGGACUAACACCGAUAUGCUUUGGGGAGCUGUAAGUAAGCUAUGAUCCAGAGAUUUCCGAAUGGGGGAACCCAAUAUCUUUUAUAGGAUAUUACUUUUCAGUGAAUACAUAGCUGAUUAGAGGUAGACGCAGAGAACUGAAACAUCUUAGUACCUGCAGGAAGAGAAAGAAAAUUCGAUUCCCUGAGUAGCGGCGAGCGAAACGGGAAGAGCCCAAACCAACAAGCUUGCUUGUUGGGGUUGUAGGACUCCAAUAUGGUAGUCUGUUAGUAUAGUUGAAGGAUUUGGAAAAUUCCGCUAAAAAGGGUGAAAGCCCCGUAGACGAAAUGCUAACAACACCUAGGAGGAUCCUGAGUACGGCGGAACACGAGAAAUUCCGUCGGAAUCCGCGGGGACCAUCCCGCAAGGCUAAAUACUCCCUAGUGACCGAUAGUGAACCAGUACCGUGAGGGAAAGGUGAAAAGCACCCCGGAAGGGGAGUGAAAUAGAUCCUGAAACCGUGUGCCUACAACAAGUCAAAGCUCGUUAAUGAGUGAUGGCGUGCCUUUUGUAGAAUGAACCGGCGAGUUACGAUUGCAUGCGAGGUUAAGUCGAAGAGACGGAGCCGCAGCGAAAGCGAGUCUGAAUAGGGCGAAUGAGUAUGUAGUCGUAGACCCGAAACCAUGUGAUCUACCCAUGUCCAGGUUGAAGGUGCGGUAAAACGCACUGGAGGACCGAACCCACGUACGUUGAAAAGUGCGGGGAUGAGGUGUGGGUAGCGGAGAAAUUCCAAACGAACUUGGAGAUAGCUGGUUCUCUCCGAAAUAGCUUUAGGGCUAGCCUCGGAAUUGAGAAUGAUGGAGGUAGAGCACUGUUUGGACUAGGGGCCCAUCUCGGGUUACCGAAUUCAGAUAAACUCCGAAUGCCAUUCAUUUAUAUCCGGGAGUCAGACUGCGAGUGAUAAGAUCCGUAGUCGAAAGGGAAACAGCCCAGACCACCAGCUAAGGUCCCAAAAUAUAUGUUAAGUGGAAAAGGAUGUGGGGUUGCACAGACAACUAGGAUGUUGGCUUAGAAGCAGCCACCAUUUAAAGAGUGCGUAAUAGCUCACUAGUCGAGUGACCCUGCGCCGAAAAUGUACCAGGGCUAAACAUAUUACCGAAGCUGUGGACUACACCAUUAGGUGUAGUGGUAGGAGAGCGUUCUAAGGGCGUUGAAGGUCGAUCGUGAGGACGGCUGGAGCGCUUAGAAGUGAGAAUGCCGGUAUGAGUAGCGAAAGACAGGUGAGAAUCCUGUCCACCGUAUGACUAAGGUUUCCUGGGGAAGGCUCGUCCGCCCAGGGUUAGUCGGGACCUAAGCCGAGGCCGAUAGGCGUAGGCGAUGGACAACAGGUUGAUAUUCCUGUACCAGUUGUUUUUGUUUGAGCAAUGGAGGGACGCAGUAGGCUAAGGAAUGCAUGCGAUUGGAAGUGCAUGUCCAAGCAAUGAGUCUUGAGUAGAGUUAAAUGCUUUACUCUUUAAGGACAAGUUGUGACGGGGAGCGAAAUAAUAGUAGCGAAGUUCCUGAUGUCACACUGCCAAGAAAAGCUUCUAGUGAGAAAACAACUGCCCGUACCGUAAACCGACACAGGUAGUCGAGGAGAGUAUCCUAAGGUGAGCGAGCGAACUCUCGUUAAGGAACUCGGCAAAAUGACCCCGUAACUUCGGGAGAAGGGGUGCUGACUUCGGUCAGCCGCAGUGAAUAGGCCCAAGCGACUGUUUAUCAAAAACACAGGUCUCUGCAAAAUCGUAAGAUGAAGUAUAGGGGCUGACGCCUGCCCGGUGCUGGAAGGUUAAGAGGAUGGGUUAGCUUCGGCGAAGCUCAGAAUUGAAGCCCCAGUAAACGGCGGCCGUAACUAUAACGGUCCUAAGGUAGCGAAAUUCCUUGUCGGGUAAGUUCCGACCCGCACGAAAGGCGUAACGAUUUGGGCACUGUCUCAACGAGAGACUCGGUGAAAUUUUAGUACCUGUGAAGAUGCAGGUUACCCGCGACAGGACGGAAAGACCCCAUGGAGCUUUACUGUAGUUUGAUAUUGAGUGUUUGUACCACAUGUACAGGAUAGGUAGGAGCCGAUGAGACCGGAACGCUAGUUUCGGAGGAGGCGCUGGUGGGAUACUACCCUUGUGUUAUGAACCCUCUAACCCGCACCACUAAUCGUGGUGGGAGACAGUGUCAGAUGGGCAGUUUGACUGGGGCGGUCGCCUCCUAAAAGGUAACGGAGGCGCCCAAAGGUUCCCUCAGAAUGGUUGGAAAUCAUUCGAAGAGUGUAAAGGCAGAAGGGAGCUUGACUGCGAGACCUACAAGUCGAGCAGGGACGAAAGUCGGGCUUAGUGAUCCGGUGGUUCCGCAUGGAAGGGCCAUCGCUCAACGGAUAAAAGCUACCCUGGGGAUAACAGGCUUAUCUCCCCCAAGAGUCCACAUCGACGGGGAGGUUUGGCACCUCGAUGUCGGCUCGUCGCAUCCUGGGGCUGUAGUCGGUCCCAAGGGUUGGGCUGUUCGCCCAUUAAAGCGGCACGCGAGCUGGGUUCAGAACG